UACAGAGGGUGCAAGCGUUGUUCGGAAUUAUUGGGCGUAAAGGGCGCGUAGGCGGCUUAACAAGUCACUUGUGAAAUCUCCGGGCUUAACUCGGAACGGCCAAGUGAAACUGUCAAGCUAGAGUGCAGAAGGGGCAAUCGGAAUUCUUGGUGUAGCGGUGAAAUGCGUAGAUAUCAAGAGGAACACCUGAGGUGAAGACGGGUUGCUGGGCUGACACUGACGCUGAGGAGCGAAAGCGUGGGGGAGCGAACAGG
RNAcentral lists this ribosomal RNA (254 nucleotides) under uncultured bacterium. Its description in RNAcentral is "partial 16S ribosomal RNA". It matches the Rfam family "Bacterial small subunit ribosomal RNA", at positions 524 to 776 of the family's 1533-position model. The record is from RNAcentral.